GAUGAACGCUAGCGGCAGGCUUAAUACAUGCAAGUCGUGGGGCAGCAUGAGUAGCAAUACUUGAUGGCGACCGGCAAACGGGUGAGGAACACGUACACAACCUUCCUUCAAGCGGGGAAUAGCCCAGAGAAAUUUGGAUUAAUACCCCAUAAUAUAUUUGAUAAGGCAUCUUAUUAAUAUUAAAGCUUCGGCACUUGAUGAUGGGUGUGCGGCUGAUUAGAUAGUUGGCGGGGUAACGGCCCACCAAGUCUACGAUCAGUAGCUGAUGUGAGAGCAUGACCAGCCACACGGGCACUGAGACACGGGCCCGACUCCUACGGGAGGCAGCAGUAAGGAAUAUUGGACAAUGGACGAAAGUCUGAUCCAGCCAUGCCGCGUGAAGGAUUAAGGUCCUCUGGAUUGUAAACUUCUUUAUAUGGGACGAAAAAGGGCAUUCUUGUUCACUUGACGGUACCAUAUGAAUAAGCACCGGCUAACUCCGUGCCAGCA
RNAcentral lists this ribosomal RNA (489 nucleotides) under uncultured bacterium. Its description in RNAcentral is "bacterial SSU rRNA". It matches the Rfam family "Bacterial small subunit ribosomal RNA", at positions 28 to 513 of the family's 1533-position model. The record is from RNAcentral.